This 240-nucleotide unclassified non-coding RNA is filed under the name soil metagenome. RNAcentral describes it as "partial contains 5.8S ribosomal RNA, internal transcribed spacer 2, and large subunit ribosomal RNA". The record is from RNAcentral.
AACAAGGCGUACCUGCGGACCUGCGGAAGGAUCAUUACCGAGUGUGAACCCCCCCGUAAAAAAGAGGGGUUACCUCCCGUCCUUUGCUGGGAACCCCUUUCCAACUUGGAAGGAGGUUGUUUUCAGACCCUUCUGCUUCGGUGGGGUAACCCACCGGAACAACCUCAAAAAUAUUCUCAAUUCAAAACCGUUCAGUCCGAGAACUUUUUUGAAAAGCGAAAAAACUUUUAGCAAUGGAUC